This 486-nucleotide ribosomal RNA is filed under the name uncultured bacterium. Its description in RNAcentral is "partial 16S ribosomal RNA". It matches the Rfam family "Bacterial small subunit ribosomal RNA", at positions 28 to 507 of the family's 1533-position model. The record is from RNAcentral.
GAUGAACGCUAGCGGCAGGCUUAACACAUGCAAGUCGAGGGGCAGCGCGGGAUAGCAAUAUCCUGGCGGCGACCGGCGGACGGGUGCGUAACGCGUGAGCGACAUGCCCGUUGCCCGGGGACAACCGGUGGAAACGCCGACUAAUCCCCGAUGGGAUAUUGUGCCGCAUGGCACGAUAUUGAAAGUUACGGCGGCGACGGAUUGGCUCGCGUCCGAUUAGCUGGUUGGCGGGGUAACGGCCCACCAAGGCUGCGAUCGGUAGGGGUUCUGAGAGGAAGGCCCCCCACAAUGGGACUAAGACACGGCCCAUACUCCUACGGGAGGCAGCAGUGAGGAAUAUUGGUCAAUGGGCGGAAGCCUGAACCAGCCAUGCCGCGUGCGGGAAGGAGGCCCUAUGGGCUGUGAACCGCUUUUGCCUGGGGGCAAUAAGGGCGUCGCGCACGUCCGAUGAGAGUACCAGGCGAAUAAGCAUCGGCUAACUCCGUG